This 449-nucleotide ribosomal RNA is filed under the name uncultured delta proteobacterium. RNAcentral's name for it is "bacterial SSU rRNA". It matches the Rfam family "Bacterial small subunit ribosomal RNA", at positions 95 to 523 of the family's 1533-position model. The record is from RNAcentral. Lineage: Bacteria; Deltaproteobacteria.
GUGGCGCACGGGUGAGUAACACGUGGAUAAUCUUCCCUCGGGCGGGGGGAUAACAUUCCGAAAGGAGUGCUAAUACCGCAUAAGACCACGAGCUCGAAAGAGCUUGAGGUAAAAGCAGGCCUCUAUAUAUAAGCUUGCACCUGAGGAUGAGUCCGCGGCCCAUCAGCUAGUUGGUAGGUAAAGCCUACCAAGGCUAAGACGGGUAGCUGGUCUGAGAGGAUGAUCAGCCACACUGGAACUGAGACACGGUCCAGACUCCUACGGGAGGCAGCAGUGGGGAAUCUUGCGCAAUGGGCGAAAGCCUGACGCAGCGACGCCGCGUGAGUGAUGAAGGCCUUCGGGUUGUAAAGCUCUGUGGGGAGAGACGAAUAAGUGCAGGCUAAUACUCUGCAUGAUGACGGUAUCUCCUUAGCAAGCACCGGCUAACUCUGUGCCAGCAGCCGCGGUAA